This 75-nucleotide transfer RNA is filed under the name Desulfotomaculum sp. RNAcentral describes it as "tRNA-Thr". It matches the Rfam family "tRNA". Rfam says of the family: Transfer RNA (tRNA) molecules are approximately 80 nucleotides in length. The record is from RNAcentral. Lineage: Bacteria; Bacillati; Bacillota; Clostridia; Eubacteriales; Desulfotomaculaceae. RNAcentral also lists the same sequence under 4 other names.
GCCGACGUGGCUCAGGGGUAGAGCAGCGCACUCGUAAUGCGCAGGUCGUCGGUUCAAAUCCGACCGUCGGCUCCA